Molecule: non-coding RNA, 212 nt
Filed under: Pelagimonas phthalicica
Lineage: Bacteria; Pseudomonadati; Pseudomonadota; Alphaproteobacteria; Rhodobacterales; Roseobacteraceae
Source: RNAcentral
CGAUCAUUUGGCCCGGCUGGUUCCUGUUUCACAACAGGCGAAGAGGGAAUGUGUGAGAUCAGCAUUGAUCGAAGCACAGCCGCCCCCGCGACCGUGACCGGAAAGGAUGCUGCGCCACUGGCUAGAAGGCCGGGAAGGUGGGCAAUCCGUUGGGGCCUAUCAGGCGUCUGAAUCCGCAAGCCGGGAGACCUGCCAGCGCGAAUGAUUGCAAC